This 305-nucleotide ribosomal RNA is filed under the name uncultured bacterium. RNAcentral's name for it is "bacterial SSU rRNA". It matches the Rfam family "Bacterial small subunit ribosomal RNA", at positions 337 to 640 of the family's 1533-position model. The record is from RNAcentral.
GCCUACGGGGGGCAGCAGUGAGGAAUAUUGGUCAAUGGGCUUACGCCUGAACCAGCCAAGUCGCGUGAGGGAAGACUGCCCUAUGGGUUGUAAACCUCUUUUGUCGGGGAGCAAAGCGAACCACGUGUGGUUCAUUGAGAGUACCCGAAGAAAAAGCAUCGGCUAACUCCGUGCCAGCAGCCGCGGUAAUACGGAGGAUGCGAGCGUUAUCCGGAUUUAUUGGGUUUAAAGGGUGCGCAGGCGGAGGUGCAAGUCAGCGGUCAAAUUGCGGGGCUCAACCCCGUACUGCCGUUGAAACUGCAUCC